Molecule: long non-coding RNA, 1472 nt
Organism: Ahaetulla prasina
Lineage: Eukaryota; Metazoa; Chordata; Lepidosauria; Squamata; Colubridae
Exons: 3
Source: RefSeq, a predicted model, not a curated record
GAUAUCCAGUCAUGUUUUCCUUACCUUUGAGAAGAAUCAACAGAGUAUUGGGGAAAAUAAUCAAGCCAAAGAUUUCCAAGGUCGUAUUCAUAACCUUAAACUAUAAACAUUACAGUCAGCCCAGCUGAUACGCACGGCAGAGUGGAUUGCCAUACCUCAGUUGUUUUACUCACUCUGGAAGUUGUGAGUAGAAGCUGAGCUCCAUUGAAUGAUACACAGUGCAUGUUCAAUCUGAAGGAUAACUGAUGGACAGAAUAACUUUAUUUUUCUUGGUGAACAAGCAACUAUGAAAUCCCUCUUUUAAACUACACAUCCUUCUUGAUCCUUCUCUUUUGGCUGAAGAUAAACCAGGGAAAUAAUAUUGAGCUGAAAGCAGAUUGAAAAGACUGAUGGAAGGAAAGUUCUAGAAUCAAUGGCUACAUAGCCUUUUCUAAGCCAAGGACCAUGAUCCAUCUGUUAAGCUACUGAAGUUCGCAGAUGACACAACAGUGAUUGGUCUCAUUCGAGACAAUGGCGAAUCCGCAUAUAGACGAGAGGUCGAACGACUAGCCUUGUGGUGCAACCAAAAUAAUCUGGAACUGAAAACACUCAAAACCGUAGAAAUGGUGGUAGACUUUAGGAAAAACCCUUCCAUACUUCCACCUCUCACAAUACUAGACAACACAGUAUCAACAGUAGAAACCUUCAAAUUUCUAGGUUCUAUCAUAUCGCAAGAUCUAAAAUGGACAGCUAACAUCAAAAACAUCAUUAAAAAAGGACAACAAAGAAUGUUCUUUCUGCGCCAACUCAGUAAGCUCAAACUGCCCAAGGAGCUGCUGAUUCAGUUCUACAGAGGAAUUAUUGAGUCUGUCAUUUGCACCUCUAUAACUGUCUGGUUCGGUUCUGCAACCCAACAAGAAAAACACAGACUUCAGAGGGUAAUUAGAACUGCAGAAAAAAUAAUUGCUACCAACCUGCCUUCCAUUGAGGACCUGUAUACUGCAUAAAUCAAGAAGAGGGCCGUGAAAAUAUUUACAGACCCCUCGCAUCCUGGACAUAAACUGUUUCAACUCCUACCCUCAAAACGACGCUAUAGAGCACUGCACACCAGAACAACUAGACACAAGGACAGUUUUUUCCCGAAGGCCAUCACUCUGCUAAACAAAUAAUUCCAUCAACACUGUCAAACUAUUUACUGAAUCUGCACUACUAUUAAUCAUCUCAUAGUUCCCAUCACCAAUCUCUUUCCACUUAUGACUGUAUGACUAUAACUUGUUGCUGGCAAUCCUUAUGAUUUAUAUUGAUAUAUUGACCAUCAAUUGUGUUGUAAAUGUUGUACCUUGAUGAAGGUAUCUUUUCUUUUAUGUACACUGAGAGCAUAUGCACCAAGACAAAUUCCUUGUGUGUCCAAUCACACUUGGACAAUAAAAUUCUAUUCUAUUCUAUUCUAUUCUAUUCUAUUCUAUUCUAUUCUAUUCUAUUCUAUUCUAUUC